RNAcentral lists this ribosomal RNA (460 nucleotides) under uncultured bacterium. RNAcentral's name for it is "partial 16S ribosomal RNA". It matches the Rfam family "Bacterial small subunit ribosomal RNA", at positions 338 to 795 of the family's 1533-position model. The record is from RNAcentral.
CCUACGGGUGGCAGCAGUGAGGAAUAUUGGUCAAUGGCCGGAAGGCUGAACCAGCCAUGCCGCGUGAAGGUCAGUGCCCUAUGGGCGUUAAACUUCUUUUGUGCGGGAGCAAUAAUGGUCACGUGUGGCCAGACGAGAGUACCGUACGAAUAAGCAUCGGCUAACUCCGUGCCAGCAGCCGCGGUAAUACCGGGGAAGCCAGCCUUUUCCGGAUUUAUUGGGGUUUAAGGGUGCGUAGGCUGGGAGGUAAGGUAGCGGUGAAAUGCCCGCGGUCAACGGGGUGAAGUGCCAUUGAUACUGGCUUGCUGGAAUGCGGAUGACGUGGGAGGAAUGUGUGGUGUAGCGGUGAAAUGCAUAGAUAUCACACAGAACACCGAUUGCGAAGGCAUCUCACGAAUCCGCGAUUGACGCUGAUGCACGAAAGCGUGGGUAUCAAACAGGAUUAGAUACCCGUGUAGUC